CAAGUUCUCACCUCACAAUACUGUUCAGCAUGCGUUGCAUUACAGUUUCAAGCUUUUAUAAGAAUAUUUCAUUUAUCAUUUUCAUUAUUUGUCUUGUUAUGUACAACUGUUGAAAAAACACUCAACAGAACGGGUAAAAAUAAAAAUAAAAACAAUUAACCAAUAGAAACCGUAACUUUAGUAAAAGCGUUCAAUAAUGUCUUGACGUUCUUUAAAACCACGGUCGUAGUGGUUUUGGGAUAUAUAAUAAUUAAUUUCACGGUUGUCACUUAAAAAAAAAAAAGUAGAAAAAAAAAGUAAUCAAAUAAAUAAAUUAGUAGUUGCGAGAAGAAACCAAAGUUGGAAAAGAAUAUUACCGGCGACUCCGUUGGUUUGUAAAACAAACAAUGCGAUGGUUUAGAAUGACGGUGGC
RNAcentral lists this long non-coding RNA (412 nucleotides) under Capsella rubella. RNAcentral's name for it is "long non-coding RNA (CRUB_LNC001293)". Lineage: Eukaryota; Viridiplantae; Streptophyta; Magnoliopsida; Brassicales; Brassicaceae. The record is from RNAcentral.